Molecule: small RNA, 2491 nt
Filed under: Drosophila yakuba
Lineage: Eukaryota; Metazoa; Arthropoda; Insecta; Diptera; Drosophilidae
Description: GE27654
Source: RNAcentral
CGAGCUGCAAUGGAGCGGAAUAGUGUGGUUAACUAUUGGGUGUACAUAUUUUUAUAGAAUGUAGGGAACUAUCAGCCAGAGAAGUAUUUAAAUCACAGCCAACUUUUAACUCCGCCCGUAACUUUUCAAAGGUUAAUAACAUUUAUAUUGACGUAAAUCGCCAAACGGCAGACUCUGCAAAUCGGUUUUCAUGUAAUUGACAAUGCGUUAGAGGCAAAACACAUUUAAAAGCAAGAUUCAUGCAAUUAACAAUUCUCCCGUGUAUCAACACUUUGGAUCAGGAAAUUAUAGUGCCAGUUGAAGCGGUAAUGAGGGGCGUGACUUGGCCACUUGCACAAUGCGAGCUGCUAACUGGACAAAGACUGCACUUUGUACCCGCCGGGCGUAUUCCGGUUCCAGAUUCCAUCACAGUGGGCUCAGGCCAUUCCAAUUUUGAUCUGAUCGCGGGUUGAGAGAGUUCAAGCAAUACACCGCCGCGGUUAGUACAGGUUCCCGUCAACUGUCUUAUGAAUAUCAAUUGAUUGCUGACGGGACAUCGAACGAAAUCCAGCGAAAAUAUAUACACUCGCCGUCUCAAUUUUUUCAUUCUGAGUCAAUCUCAUUAAUAGGAUAAGUAUAAGGUUUGUAUUGAAAUAUGUUGAGUGCUUGUUUAGAAAUGUGGUAAAAAUAAGAAAACCUCAAAUUGGUUGGUAAUCAGAAAAAAAAUCCCUACAAUUAAGUUUCUUAAAUGGUAAUUUAAAUUAUCAUGAUUGGUAAGAGAAGCGAAUGGCUUUCGGGGGCAAUGUUGCACAUUGCUAGAUGUAGGCAUUUGACGAAUGAGCACCGAUUACUUUUAACCCAUGAAGCACCAUUUAGUCCCAGCUAUGUGACAUGCAUCGAUUACAGAAACUACUUUCCAGAUACUUCCCAGCACUAACCAAAGCCAUAUGAACAAGUCAGUUACUGCAGUUUAGGUGGCUUUUUGAAUGUCAUGGGCAAUAAACUGGCCAUGGCUAUGGUGAUGGCGGUAACGAUGGCGAUGCCGAUGGACACGUAAGACUUGGGCAACUGGCUCAAUAAGCGUUGACAAAAAUGUGCCGCUUUAUUGCCGCUGCCAUUGCCUCAGCCAGCGUGAAAUUCGCUGCUGUCGCAACCGGUGAGUUGGCGUUCGUAGUUCGCUGUGUGGGUCAGUGGCACGCUUUCCGCGUUGGCCUCGCCCGGAGGCAUAGCAUCCGCGAGGUGUGGCGGCGGCACCGAGCGUUUGACUUGCGAUUUCGCUGUUUAAUUUGCAUAAUAUAUAAAAACGCUUGGGACCACGCUUCUGCAGAGGGAUGGCCAUCAGCCACAACCACUUAGCUCGGAAGAGGAGACGGAUCCCACUUAUGUAAGCGGCACGACGGAGCACAGUGCAGAGAAGAAGAUGGAAGAUACGGGAACAAAAAAACGAGGCGGCAACUCGUACUGGAACUCGUGCACACGCUCUGCGGGCGUCAUCAGCGGGCCAUCAAAAGCCAUCUUACGGUCGCAGUAUGGACCCAGCCACGGUCCUGCUAUCAGAUUGGGUUCUUAAUCGCCAUCGAACCCCUCCGACAUGUCGUUUUGGGGGCUAGGUGCCUGCACGCUAUUGUUUACACGGUUGAGUUCUGCAGCAGGUUGCAUUUUUGAAAUCAAUUAGAGCGGCUACACCCGCAAGCCAAGGCACAUGCACUCCAGCCAGAGCAAUACCGAAUAGCAAAAACGGCGUAAAUAGUUUGAUAAGCUUGCUGAUUUUAUCGCACUCACCCCAGGGGCGGGUGAGUAUGUAGAUUACACGGCGGUGACCGGGUUUUUCGUGGCAAUUGCUCGCUUAGAAAACCUAAUUAAGUGGAAAAUCGAUGCCAGGGGACCAAGAGCUCCACGGCGGAAUCGCGGAUGACGCAUUUUUGGAUGAUAAGCGUGUGUCCAUGAUGAUCCAUAUAUUAAAGCCGACAAUUCGUGGCGAUCGUGAGCGCAGAAGGCGAUAGAGGGAAAAACUAUAAAAAAAAGAUAAGCUGAGAAAGGACUUCCUUGACCUGCUGCAGGAGCGACAUGACAUCAAGAGGCACACUAGGGGGAUCCAAGGUACCGAGCACUGGACUCGGUCUAUCGUGAGGAGUACUUUGAAGACUAGCGAUCUCUUGACAAGGAUAAGGAGAAAGAUAAAGAUAAAGAGAAGGAGAAAGAUAUGGAAAACGACAAGGAUAAAGAGACGGAAAAGAACAAGAAUUAAGUGAAGGAAAAUGACAAAGAGAGCUCUCGUCGGGAAUGUACUCGAGUAACCAUAGAUGAGAUAUGUGCGAUCAACAACCGAGUCGAUAGAACCUUAUCCGUCUAAUGGAAACUAUCCCGAGUCUUUUCUAUUUCAGGACUUAUAAAAAGAAUCAAGAUAGAACGCUAUAAUCGAGUUCCUUAAGGGAGAACAUUAAUGGCACCUUUGGGCGUUAAAGUGGGCAUGAAAACAUCAGGAACCCAAAUUGCGCUGCGUCAAUGUUUC